GACGAACGCUGGCGGCGUGCCUAACACAUGCAAGUUGAGCGACGAACCAGGGCUUGCCCUGGGGCAAAGCAGCGAACGGGUGAGUAACACGUGGGUAACCUACCCCGAUAACCGGGACAACCCGAGGAAACUCGGGCUAAUACCGGAUGUGCUCACUGGACUUCGGUUCAGUGCGUAAAGGAAGCUUCGGCCUCCGUAUCGGGAGGGGCCCGCGGCCCAUUAGUUUGUUGGUGAGGUAACGGCUCACCAAGACCGCGAUGGGUAGCUGGUCUGGUAGGACGGUCAGCCACACUGGGACUGAGACACGGCCCAGACUCCUACGGGAGGCAGCAGUGGGGAAUCUUGCGCAAUGCGCGAAAGCGUGACGCAGCAACGCCGCGUGGGGGAAGAAGGCCUUCGGGUUGUAAACCCCUUUCAGGAGGGACGAAGGUGCGGCGGUGAAUAGCCGUCCGGACUGACGGUACCUCCACAAGAAGCCCCGGCUAACUACGUG
This 493-nucleotide ribosomal RNA is filed under the name uncultured bacterium. RNAcentral's name for it is "partial 16S ribosomal RNA". It matches the Rfam family "Bacterial small subunit ribosomal RNA", at positions 28 to 507 of the family's 1533-position model. The record is from RNAcentral.